UUUCUCUGUAUGUGCCCAGACUC
RNAcentral lists this non-coding RNA (23 nucleotides) under Rattus norvegicus (Norway rat). The record is from RNAcentral. Lineage: Eukaryota; Metazoa; Chordata; Mammalia; Rodentia; Muridae.